UACGUAGGGUGCAAGCGUUGUCCGGAAUUAUUGGGCGUAAAGAGCUCGUAGGCGGUCUGUCGCGUCGGCUGUGAAAACCCGGAGCUCAACUCCGGGCCUGCAGUCGAUACGGGCAAACUAGAGUAUUGCAGGGGAGACUGGAAUUCCUGGUGUAGCGGUGAAAUGCGCAGAUAUCAGGAGGAACACCGGUGGCGAAGGCGGGUCUCUGGGCAAUAACUGACGCUGAGGAGCGAAAGCGUGGGGAGCGAACAGG
This 253-nucleotide ribosomal RNA is filed under the name uncultured bacterium. Its description in RNAcentral is "partial 16S ribosomal RNA". It matches the Rfam family "Bacterial small subunit ribosomal RNA", at positions 524 to 776 of the family's 1533-position model. The record is from RNAcentral.